AUUAUGUUAAUGGUUUAAGCCCAUUUGGCUGCAUAUCUUCUUCUUCUUUUUCUCCUUUUUCUUUGUUUCCUCUUAUUUAGAUUCGGUGUGGGAUACGGGCUUUGCCCUCCAUGCCCAAUUCGGCCUAAACACAAAUAGACCAAGUCAAGAAAGCUCAUAACAAAGAAGAACGGCCCAUCAGAACAACGGCCCAUCAGAAUGACUACUCGGCCCAUCACAGCUCUGCCCAUCACGGCUCGGCCCAGCCCGAUAAAUUCAGAAGGGCAAAAAGGAGAAAUCGCAAGAGAGACUAAGAGAACCCUAGAUCAGCUCCUUGCCAAUAGGAAGAGAUACUACUAAGAAGGGGGAUCCAGAACCUAAGUCACCACUCAGAGAAUUUAAGAGAGAAUUGCUGCCUAUCUCUUUAUCUCUUACUUUCUGGUUUUCCGUUCUGUAUUUUCAGGUUUUCCGACCAUUAAUAUCAGUUUUUCAACCUGUACUUUCGGUUCUAAGUUUCUGUACUUACGGUUUUCCAUUAUGUUAAUUACUGCCUUUCUGUUCGUCAUUAAUAAAGAAGCUACUCCGUUCUCUCCAAACUCCUUAGUUAUUUAUUGUUACAACUUCGGUACAAACAUUCACUUUUUUUUUUUUUUUGUAAUGAGCGAUCGUCGAUCGAUAUAAAACAGUUAGUUGAUCACAACGAUAGUGAUUAUGAU
This 695-nucleotide small RNA is filed under the name Arabidopsis thaliana (thale cress). RNAcentral describes it as "ATSL192490". Lineage: Eukaryota; Viridiplantae; Streptophyta; Magnoliopsida; Brassicales; Brassicaceae. The record is from RNAcentral.